Molecule: non-coding RNA, 72 nt
Organism: Phrynosoma platyrhinos (Desert horned lizard)
Lineage: Eukaryota; Metazoa; Chordata; Lepidosauria; Squamata; Phrynosomatidae
Source: the annotation of a GenBank genome assembly
GCCAGUGUGAUUGUAGUGGUUUGAGACUUAGUCUAUGACUCUGGAGACCAGGGUUCGAAUCCUGGCUUGGCA